CUAUGCGCCUUGCCAGCCCCGCUCAGAAACUUAAAGGAAUUGACGGGGGCCCGCACAAGCGGAGGAACAUGUGGUUUAAUUCGAUGAUACGCGAGGAACCUUACCUGGGCUAGAACGCAUUCGGAAUCAGGCCGAAAGGCCUGCGCCAGCGAUGGCCGCUUGCGAGGUGCUGCAUGGUUGUCGUCAGCUCGUGCCGUGAGGUGUCGGGUUAAGUCCCAUAACGAGCGCAACCCCUACUGCUAGUUGCCAGCGGGUCAUGCCGGGGACUCUAGCGGAACUGCCAGCGUAAGCUGCGAGGAAGGUGGGGAUGACGUCAAAUCAGCACGGCCCUUACGUCCAGGGCUACACACGUGUUACAAUGGCCGGUACAGAGGGCAGCCACCCCGCGAGGGGGCGCGAAUCCCGAAAGCCGGUCCCAGUUCGGAUCGGAGUCUGCAACCCGACUCCGUGAAGCUGGAUUCGCUAGUAAUCGCGCAUCAGCCACGGCGCGGUGAAUACGUUCCCGGGCCUU
This 511-nucleotide ribosomal RNA is filed under the name uncultured Rikenellaceae bacterium. Its description in RNAcentral is "bacterial SSU rRNA". It matches the Rfam family "Bacterial small subunit ribosomal RNA", at positions 903 to 1382 of the family's 1533-position model. The record is from RNAcentral. Lineage: Bacteria; Pseudomonadati; Bacteroidota; Bacteroidia; Bacteroidales; Rikenellaceae.